AUCCUUUUUUGGUUCAUAAGCAUGAUGAUUGGGUGUUCACACACCUGCAUGACAUGUGCUACCCUCAAACCUUGUUACCCAUGGGCACAUUGCCCGUCUGACA
Nannospalax galili (Upper Galilee mountains blind mole rat) is the source of this 103-nucleotide small nucleolar RNA. RefSeq annotates it as small nucleolar RNA U13. The transcript has a single exon. Lineage: Eukaryota; Metazoa; Chordata; Mammalia; Rodentia; Spalacidae. The record is from RefSeq and is a predicted model, not a curated record.